CUGGGAUUAGAUACCCUGUUAUUUAAAAUGUAAUUAUAAAGACUAAGGUAGUAUUAGAUAUGUUCUUUAAACUUAAAAAAUUUGGCGGUAUUUUAGUCUAUUCAGAGGAACCUGUUUUGUAAUCGAUAAUCCACGAUGGACCUUACUUAAGUUUGUUAAUCAGUUUAUAUACCGUUGUUAUUAGAAUAUUUUAUAAGAAUGUUAAUUUUCAUAAUUUUUUAUAAAAAGUAUAUCAAAUCAAGGUGUAGCUUAUAUUUGAGUAUAAAUGGGUUACAAUAAAUUUAUUUAAGCGGAUAUAAAUUUGAAAUAUUUAUUAAAGAUGGAUUUGAUAGUAAAAUUAUAUAGAUUAAUAAUUUGAUUUUAGCUCUAAAAUAUGUACAAAUCGCCCGUCACUCUCUGA
RNAcentral lists this ribosomal RNA (400 nucleotides) under Stevenia deceptoria. RNAcentral's name for it is "partial small subunit ribosomal RNA". The record is from RNAcentral. Lineage: Eukaryota; Metazoa; Arthropoda; Insecta; Diptera; Rhinophoridae.